Long non-coding RNA from Galeopterus variegatus (Sunda flying lemur), 597 nucleotides. RefSeq lists it as uncharacterized. The record is from RefSeq and is a predicted model, not a curated record. The transcript has 3 exons. Lineage: Eukaryota; Metazoa; Chordata; Mammalia; Dermoptera; Cynocephalidae.
GGUGUGUUUGGAGAUUGGCCUAAAAUAUGGGCAGUGAUACUCUGUCUCCAUGCAAAGUAUUUGCUAUUUGUCCCUGAUGGACAGACUUGUAAUUACAAGUCAUAAUUAACUAUCUCACUGCUUUAGACAAGGUGAAGGUGGAAAAAGGACCAAGUCUGAAGUGAGACUGGAAAUAUGGCGUUUUCCCCUCUUGAUUCUGUCCUCUGGUAUUUCCCCAGGUCCCUUCCUUUUAGGCAGGGAUUUCUGACUCUGCACAUCUAGACUUGGGGUUGGAGGAGCAAAAGGUGUUUGGUGGUCCCACUGACUGACUCUUUGUUUGGAACAGUGAAUGGCACAACAGGAGAAGGCCUGUCCCUGAGUGUCUCGGAACGUCGCCAGGUCGCAGAGGAGUGGGUGAUGCAAGGGAAGAACAACCUUUCUCAACUGCCUUCCCAAUCUGUAAUAUAAAUUUGAAAAUAUGACUGUCAUGUCAUUGGACAGAAAAGACAGUAUCAUCUAGUGGGAUAAACAGUAGAAGAGAAAUUACAUCUGCAGGCCCAACAUGCAGCACAAAUAGGAGCUGAUGGCAUUGCUGUCAUUGCACCUUUCUUUUUCAAG